Molecule: long non-coding RNA, 847 nt
Organism: Herpailurus yagouaroundi (jaguarundi)
Lineage: Eukaryota; Metazoa; Chordata; Mammalia; Carnivora; Felidae
Exons: 2
Source: RefSeq, a predicted model, not a curated record
CAUAAACAAACCCUUGAGAUAAGAUGAGGAAUGUGGUAGGAAUAACGUCAUUGAAGAAAUCAUGUGGAUUUUGUUUCUGGAUGCUGCACUUGACAUAAAGUCAGAUCCAAGUUGCUCACAGGACUAUACCUCUAGUCUCCUCACUCAGCCAACCUUCCACCUGCCCCCAGCCUCUAACCUAAAGAGAGAACAUAAGCAGAGGAGAAGGGCAGGAGGAGAGAGAGAGAGAAUCUCAAGGAGGCUCAGCACUGAGUGUGGACUUCACCCCACCAAGCUUGACCCCUGGGAUUGUGACCUGAGCCCAAAUCAAGAGUUGGGCACUCAACCGACUGAGCCACAAGCACCCCACUAUAAUUUCUUGUUGUUUCUAUUCCUCCUCUGAUUCCUUACUUUUGUUGGAUUAAUCCAAAUGUUAGGUGUUGUGUUUCCUUUUUUUUUCUUUCAGCAGUUUGCAAUUUAUAUAUCUUAUUUCUAUUCUUCUGUUAUUUCCCUUGAAUUUUUCUUCAGCAGAAGAAAGAAGACAGUUUUAUUUCCAAUGAUAUGUGAUUGUCAACUGAUAACUACUUUAUCUUGCCCUUGUGUUGUCGUUGUUAUUGUCACUUUAGUUUUAACUAAGUUUAAGCUACCUGAUAUUUUCUCCUUGUGAAAAACCAACACGAUAGGUUUGAUCAAAUUCCUAUUUAACUACACCUCCAACCCUAGGCCUCUGCCAAAAGGUAAUGACUGUACAGCUGAAACAUAUUCUACCAACUUUUCCCAUGCAUUUCAUUAUAUAUAUAUUUGUGUAUAUACUUCUGUAUGUGUGUACGUCUAUUUGCAAAAUAAAAAAAAAUGGCAUUUUCUGUUA